UAUUAAAAAUUUCAUCCAUUUGUACUGUUAAAAACUAAUGUGGUUGACGGAAUAAUAAGACAAUGACAUGCAACGUGCCACAUGCCACAUGUACCUCAUGCUGAUAUACAAAGACUAAUUUUUAAUAGCAGAAAUGGAUGAAAUUUUUAACA
Molecule: non-coding RNA, 152 nt
Organism: Gossypium hirsutum (cotton)
Lineage: Eukaryota; Viridiplantae; Streptophyta; Magnoliopsida; Malvales; Malvaceae
Source: Rfam